Choloepus didactylus (southern two-toed sloth) is the source of this 78-nucleotide small nucleolar RNA. RefSeq annotates it as small nucleolar RNA SNORD115. NCBI's taxonomy places the organism in Eukaryota, Metazoa, Chordata, Mammalia, Pilosa, Megalonychidae. The record is from RefSeq and is a predicted model, not a curated record. The transcript has a single exon.
GGGUCAAUGAUGAGGAUUUAUCCUGUUGAAGACAGAUGAUAACAUAAAAUCAAGCUUACUAGAAUUAUGAUGAUGCUG